ARUNUCUUUAUUGGGACUUGUAUGAACGAUUGGAUGAAAUAUAACNGUCUCUUUAUUAUAUAUAUAUAUAUAGAAUUUAAUUUUUUAAUUAAAAAGUUAAAAUAAUUUUAAAAGACGAGAAGACCCCAUAGAGUUUUAUAUACUAAUUAAUUAGUUAUAUAUAUAUAUUUAUUUAUAAUUAAAAUUAUUUAAUAUAUUAUGUUGGGGUGAUAGAAAAAUUAAUUUAACUUUUUUUUUUAAUAUAUACNAAAAUAAAUGAAUUUAAUGAUCCAAAAUUUUUGAUUAUAAGAUUAAAUUACCUNGGGGAUAACAGCGUAAUUUUUUUUUUUAGUUCAAAUAAAAAAAAAAGUUUGCGACCUCNAUGUNGGAUUAANANAAAAUUUAAANGC
This 389-nucleotide ribosomal RNA is filed under the name Chilo terrenellus. RNAcentral describes it as "partial 16S ribosomal RNA". The record is from RNAcentral. Lineage: Eukaryota; Metazoa; Arthropoda; Insecta; Lepidoptera; Crambidae.